Triticum aestivum (bread wheat) is the source of this 5337-nucleotide RNA transcript. RefSeq lists it as uncharacterized. The transcript is spliced from 3 exons. The record is from RefSeq and is a predicted model, not a curated record. Lineage: Eukaryota; Viridiplantae; Streptophyta; Magnoliopsida; Poales; Poaceae.
GCGCAGAUGCAGCCGUCGGGUGAAGAGAAUGGGGGCCCAACACCACCACUAAGCCCGAGUGCUACAACCACGGGUAGGGUGAACUCACUCGUCUCUUCCGCCGCCGCCGCCCAAAUGAAAGAGAGUGAGGACGGCGACCGCCGCCGCCGCAGCCCCCAAACCCACGCGAGUGAGGAGGCCGUCGGGUCAUCCCCAGGUUCUGGCGAGCCAGGAGGAAGCCAGAGUGGCUCGCCCCCGCCCCCGCCCCCGUUCCCAGAUCCGCGCCACUGGCGAGGGCGCUGGAGUGAUCUGCCUCCCGGCGGCGCUGGCCUCGCCGGUCGAAGACGACGACCUCCUGAGGGAGAUCCUCCUCCGUCUUCCGCGGCAGCCCUCCUCGCUCCUCCGGGCCUCCGCCGUCUGCAAGCAGUGGCGAUGCGCCGCCACGGACCCCAAGUUCCUCCACCGCUUCCGCCUCCAUCACCGGAAGCCGCCCCUCCUCGGCGUCUUCCACCAAGGCAAGGAUGAUUUCUUCUUCACCCCCAUCAUGGACCGUCCCGACCGAAUCCCUCGCAGCCGUUUCGACCUGCAUCUCCGCGACCGCAGCAAGGGGAUGCUCCAGCUGCUUGAUUGCCGCCACGGCCGCGUCCUCACGUUCACGUACAAUCGGCCGAAUGAGGUCAUCGUGAGCGACCCUAUCACCGGCGGGCAGCGCCGCAUAGCCCUUCCGCCAGAGUUCGUAGGAAGACGCUUCAACGGGGCUGUGCUCUGCGCUUCCGUCCACCAUGACCACAUGCACGGAAGCUGCCACUCGAGCCCCUUCAACGUCGUGUUGAUCUCUGAUAACGGAGCAUAUGAUCCACCUAUCACUUGUGUUUACUCUUCAGAGACUGGCAUAUGGGGUGAUAUCAUUUCAGCAACCGUUCCAUGUCACCUUUUUGAUGAAGGUAUCUCUGGCUUGCUUGUUGAUAAUGCACUUUACUGGUUGCUGGAAUCUAUAAGCGACGGCAUGCUUAAGUUUGAUUUGGAUGAGCAGAGCCUAGCUGUGAUUAGUGGGCCUCCCGUUAUAGAUGCUGAUUUCCCACGUGGCAGCCAUUGGAUCAUCCAGGCUGAGGAUGGUGCUGUUGGCUUCACCAUAUUGUCUUGCCCACAAUUACAAAUGUGGCAGAGGAAUAUCAAUUGCUAUGGUGUUGCCACAUGGGUGCUAUGGAAGACCAUUGACAUGUGUACAAUUCUUGGGCUCCCUAAACAGAUUCAAGGAGAGGAGGCAGACGAGAGAAAUAUACUGGGAUGCCUUGAGGAUAGUGAUGAAAUAAUUCUAUCUGUGGGCCGUGCUGCCUAUGUGGUUCAGCUUAAGUCGAUGAAGUCUAGGAAACUUUGUGAAAACGGUAGUCAUACUCUCUAUCAUUCAUUCAAAAGUUUCUAUCCUCCAGGUGAUUUUUCAUCCUUAGUCCUUGUAUUAGGAGUAACUUAAUCUUGUUGUGUUCUGUACAUGGAUGUUUGAAUACCUUCGUUGUGAUUCUCAAGUAUAACAACUUAAACUUAGUUAUCAUCCUUUUGCUAGACAAACAAGUUUAUAGAUAUAUUGCUUAAUAUAUGUUACCAUUCAAUAUAUUUGUCUUCAUGCUUCACUAUUCAUUUCCUAGAUAGACAACCUUAUGGCUUUCUUUUCUGUUAUCAGUUAAUAUAGUUGUCUUUGACCUGCAAGUGACUAGUGUAACACAUCUUUUUCUUUUUUUGCAUUUGUUGUCUCUAAUCAGGCUCUGUUUACUUAAUUUGAAUACCCAAGAUCACUUUUGCCGGUGUAGUGUUUAUGAGUUUUUGCAUGUUUCCGUUUUGUCUUCUUGAAAUGAGGAGUGAUGAGCUCUGUUUUUAAGGCGUCUGUGAAGCGUCGCCUAAGCGAUGACAAGGCGUCGAACCUGCCUUAUACAUCGUCGUAAAGCGUCCGCUUUAGAUCCUAGGGCGUCUGAAUCGUCCGCCUAGGCGCGUAGGGCGGCGCCUUGGGCCAGAUCGGACGCCAUGGGCUGCUUCCAGGCGGGAAAGAGUGGCCCACGCGGGAAGCUUUCGCGGGAAAUAUUGGGCUCGCGCGCGAGUGCGAACAGGUAAUCGUCCAAUCCACCCGAUAGGGUUUCCUUCUCUCCUCUCUGACCUUUGGCGGCGACUCCUUCCUCUACAGCUCCGAUCUGUGCCCCUCCUCGCCGGGCUCAGCUCUCCCUCCAACUCUGGCGCAACAGCAAGGUAGAUCUGUAGAUGUGCUUGGCUGCUUGCCUGCUCCUCCUCUGCAUCUGUUUGCUCCCAAAUCUGCUUCUCCAUCCACAAGGCAGCAACCCCACCAUCGCUUCUCUCCUUCCCCAUGCUUGUCUGCUUGCUCUAGUGAUUUGGCUCUUCUCUCUUUGACGGUUGAUUGGGUCUUUUCUCAGUGUUGCUGCAGCAGCGAGGUGUCCCUGCUCUGAUGGAUCCUAGGAGAAGAGCUACAUCAGAUGAUCCAGUUUGGAAGUAUGGGUUCUGGCCAGAUUUAGAGAGGAAAGAUUUACUCCAGUGUACAUUGUGUGGCAAGAUAGUCCAUGCUGGAGUGAGAAGGCUGAAGCAGCACCUUUCUUGGGGUUGUAGUGAUGCAGAUAUGUGUCCCGAGGCAUCUAUGGAGAUUAGGAUAGAGAUGCGCAAAUCCUUAAAACACUAGAAAGUUUAAAGCUAUGGAGCGAUAUAUUGAUGAGAAGGAUGAAGCUGAAGUUCAAAGGCGCCGUUCUGUCAUUUACAGAAGAUGAUUUGAGGCCUAUGAUUUGGCAACAACUAAUUAUGUUAAUGUUAAUUGUUAAAUUUCCUAAAUGGCUGCCAUCUGUUAUAUAUGUAUGUACAGUUUAUGAUGUCAAUGCUAGUAGUUAAAUCUCCUAAUUGGCUGCCAUCUAUUAUAUAUGUAUGUGUCUAAGGCGUCGCCUCGCCUUAUGCCUUAGCGCUUAGGCAGUGAGGCGCCCCCCCAGCGCCUCGCCUCGCCUUACCGCCUUAAAAACAUAGGUGAUGAGUUAAUGAGUUAAAUUGUAGGCCCUGUCUUCCUUUCUUAUAAGCUAAAUUCUUCACUAUGAGGUAGCUAUGUAUAUGUAUAUUGAUUAAAUGAAUAUUCCUUGCAAAAAGCAACAUAUGUGGUUUUAUUUCUUACCAGUAUCAGUAGUGAGUUGUACAACAUAAAUACAAGAGCAUGUUCUCUUAUAUUUGUCAAUUCAUCUAUGUAAUAAACUGACUGUUGCCUUCUCAUAUCCAUUUUUAUUUUUGAUGGAACUUUAUUAAAUGAUUGCCUUAUGCUUCCAGGCACAUCCAUUGCUGGUGGAUUUGAUGGAGCUGAAAUGAUGCAUGAUUCACAGGGUAAUUGUUUGGUUUGAUGUUCUAAUGUGCUUAAAUGGUAACAGGUAAAGAAGGGCUGCUGCAGAUGUUAGUUGUCACUGAGUUUGCCGCAUUGCAUCAACGUUGUUGGCAGUGUUUAGAUGCUAUCUAAAAUAACUUAUUAUUCUGCCCUAGUCUAGCCAUGUCUCUAGUGUAGCAAGUUGUUUUUGAAUACCUAAAUCCAGGGAAUUUCAGCUUACCCUAGCAUUGUAUCAAGUUGGAUUUCGUCAUCGCUUAUUUUUGUUAGGUGUUUGUGCAUGGUAGCUCUUCUGUUUAUCUAUGAUAGUUUCAGUCCCGUGUAUCACCAAAACUUGUGUGUUAUGAGUGUGCUUGUCAGCUGUGGUUUUGAUAAGCAUGUCUAUUUUCUUAGCUGUAAUUCUUAGUCUGAGAGUGAGUGAGGUUGCAUCUUAUUUGUAAUCCUUCUCUGCAGGACUUCCAGGGCAUUCCAACAUGUUUUAUAUGACUGAAAGCAACACGGAUUAAAUGGGAAUGCCGAGACAACAAGAAUCAGAAUUGAUUUUUUAUACUGAGAUUGAGGUUGCUGCUGCCUUGUUUCUUGUGCACUCAUGUUGAUAGAUGAAAUGUAUGAUUCUAUUUCGAUGAAUACCACCGCAGCACAGUAAUCUCAAACUUCAAUCCAGCAUGCAUGGAACAGUGGUGCACAAGUGUGUGCCAUGUAUACUGCAUGCUUUUCUGAUGAAAUUGUCUUGCAAUGAUGCAAUCUACGAUUAUCUGUCUGCUUUAGAAAAGCUCCUGUCUAUUUUGCUCUUUUCUUAAUCGCUUUAAGCCUCCCUAUAUACAAUGGAAAGCUAUAUGCUAGAUCGUGUUGGACUGCUCCGAGUAGAGUAGUUUCCUUAUUGGCAAGUGGAAGUAAACCCAUACGUGUGCUUUUUACAGUUUUAUUGACAAGCUCCAGAUUCAGAUGGAUAUCGAUUUCCACCUGGUGGCAUGCUUUCUCCCUUCCAUGCAUGUGUACCGGAGUUUUGACUAGCCGAUGUAUGUUUCUGCAGCAGGCUGGUGUUAGUUGGAUGGUAUUGUUUCAAAAUUGUUCAGGUCCAAAUGUGUUGGCAUUUACAGUAUGUUUUUUGUUUGCUUGCACUGAUAGCUUUGCUUUUUUGUUCGGGAACAAAAUAACUCGAAACGGCCUAUCUUCGGAGGAAGGAAAUGUGCCGCAUCAGUGUAGUGUAAUAGUUCUCUUUAGAUUCACGUGCUGAAAAUGCUCAACGAUCUAUGCUCAACUGCGCCUUGUUUUUUUGAACUUGCUAAUAACAAUAUCGGUUGAAGACCCUCCUGGCGUGUUUUAAUUUUGGGAGAUGACAAGGGAUGAGUUUAUAUGAGAUAAAUUCUACUAUGAAGCAGCUAAAUAUACCACUUACAGGAAUAUUACUGGCAUUUACAAUGGACAUAGUUAUGUCUGUAUAUUGCUAGUAUCAAAACUGAUCUACUCCCCCCGUCCCAUAAUAUAAGAGUGUUUUUUUGACACCUUCGUCCCAUAAUAUAAGAGCGUUUUUUGACACUAGUGAGUUAUUUUGCUCAAGUUGUAUUCGUCAGCUCAUCAGUGUACUGUCGCCUUCACUUAUCCAUUUGUAUUCGCCUUCUUAAUUGCCUGGCUUAGUGUGAUCCAGGCACGCAACCAUUGCUGGUGGAUGUAAUGAGGAAAAACAGCCUGAGCUUACUGAUAUCUGAGGAAUAAUUCAGAGGUGACAGAAGGCUAAUGGACGAAUUCAUAGCGGUGGCACGGAAGCAGCGAUUUCUUCCUGACUUGUUUUGUUAGAUGGCAGAAUGUUGUGAAAUCUGAUGUCAUAUACCCUCGUAAAUAGAAGCAUUACAUGAUCACAUUGGUACCAGAGAUAAUUUAGUCAAACAUGAUACACGCUAGGCAUGGUUGAUCUCUCUCCUGUAAAAACUCGCAAAGUUGCGAACUGUUGCAACCUGUGAUGCCAUUUCCAAGGCGAGUUGAGUUGAAACUUAAAUGCCAUAUACAAA